UCAUAACUCCACAAACUCUGAAUUUGCAGC
This 30-nucleotide non-coding RNA is filed under the name Macaca fascicularis (crab-eating macaque). RNAcentral also lists the same sequence under 1 other name. Lineage: Eukaryota; Metazoa; Chordata; Mammalia; Primates; Cercopithecidae. The record is from RNAcentral.